GGGAAUUACAAAGAUGAUGGAGCUAGACUGUUCAGUGGUACCAAAUGACAGAACAAGAAGUAAUGGUCUCAGGUUGCAGUGGGGGAGGUUUAAGUUGGAUAUUAGGAAAAACUAUU
Molecule: non-coding RNA, 116 nt
Organism: Chelonoidis abingdonii (Abingdon island giant tortoise)
Lineage: Eukaryota; Metazoa; Chordata; Testudines; Testudinidae
Source: RefSeq, a predicted model, not a curated record